This is a long non-coding RNA of Sphaeramia orbicularis (orbiculate cardinalfish), 1393 nucleotides long. RefSeq lists it as uncharacterized. The transcript is spliced from 4 exons. The record is from RefSeq and is a predicted model, not a curated record. NCBI's taxonomy places the organism in Eukaryota, Metazoa, Chordata, Actinopteri, Kurtiformes, Apogonidae.
UACAUUUUGUACAUAUAUCCGGGAUGUUCCGAUUAUAUUUAUUUAAUUUAACUGGCGUGAUAUAAGUUCUCAUUAGCCAUUUAUACUGCAAUAAUCUAAAACGGGUAUUGAUUGAUUGGGUGUGGACCUUAGUACAUACAGAAUGCCAGUCUUCUAAUGAGAUAUCUGUACCUAGAUCUUCCUUCCAUGCUUCACACUUAUGAUCUGCAUUUUCAAUUGAAUUAGAUAGUAAGUAAUUAUAUAAUGUUAUAGUGUUUUAAUUGAGAAAAGCCGCUACUUUUGCUGUUUUGACCGGUCCAAGAUGGCGAACAAGUUGCGCGCGCCGCUCGGACUGCUGCACCGCCCCCUCCUGGACACACAACACUACUGCAGCUCUUCCCUUCUCUUCCUGGAGUGAAGUCGGGGUGAGGCGAGGAUAAAGGCUGUGUAGACGGGAAUAAGACAUGAGACAGAUGUGAUCCACUUUGAGACAGAAGCUGUCAGAGCCGGGGUAGAUUAUCUGGAUUCAAAGCAAAGAGCUGCAGCCAUGGAGGAGGAAGAAGCGACAACAGCUCCAGAGACGGUGGAACCUGGACAUGACCAAUAAGUUGCUGACCCUUGUUCCCUGUCUAACAAUACUCCAUUUUCAGAGGAUGUUUCAUUGACAGAAGAACCCCAGACCAGAGCAGAAUUCCAAAAAUAUUACUGUCACCUGACUCUGGACCCAAACACAGCGUACAGAGAGCUGCUUCUCUCCGAGGACAACAGGAAAGCAGAGCUGACGAAUAUGGUUCAGACGUAUCCAGACCAUCCAGACAGGUUCUCCCACCUGUACCAGGUGUUGUGUGCAGAGCCUCUGUCCGGCCGCUGUUACUGGGAGGUGGAGUGGAAAGAGUCUAUAGAAAUCGCUGUGGCCUAUAAAGAUCUCAGCAGAACAGGGUAUUAUGACGAGUGUGCAUUCGGCUGCAAUGACAAGUCCUGGAGUUUAGACUUAAACAAGAACAAUAAGUGUUUCCGACACAAUGAUGAAGAGACCGAGGUGCCGGAGCCUCUGUCCUUCAGAGUCGGUGUGUACCUGGACCAUAAGGCAGGUCUACUGUCUUUCCACUGCAUCACUGACAUGAGGCUGCAGCUUCUACACAAAGUCCACACCACGUUCACAGAACCUCUGUACCCAGGGCUGUGGGUGGCGGACAGCGCCCAGCUCUGCGACCCCGAGUGAACCCUUCAACAACACUGUACAUCAGCGGUGUGAGACUCAUUUUAAGUCAUGGGUCACAUGCAGUCCAAUUUGACUUCAAGUGGGUCAGACCAGUAAAAUAAUCACAUAAUAACCUAUAAAUAAUGACAACUCCAAAUUUUUGUCUUUGUUUUAAUGCAAAAAGUACAAUUAAAUUAUGAUAAUGUUUACAUU